RNAcentral lists this ribosomal RNA (529 nucleotides) under uncultured bacterium. RNAcentral's name for it is "bacterial SSU rRNA". It matches the Rfam family "Bacterial small subunit ribosomal RNA", at positions 777 to 1304 of the family's 1533-position model. The record is from RNAcentral.
AAUAGAUACCCAGGUAGUCCACGCCGUAAACGAUGAGUGCUAAGUGUUAGAGGGUUUCCGCCCUUUAGUGCUGCAGCUAACGCAUUAAGCACUCCGCCUGGGGAGUACGACCGCAAGGUUGAAACUCAAAGGAAUUGACGGGGGCCCGCAUAAGCGGUGGAGCAUGUGGUUUAAUUCGAAGCAACGCGAAGAACCUUACCAGGUCUUGACAUCCUCUGACCUCCCUAGAGAUAGGGCCUUCCCCUUCGGGGGACAGAGUGACAGGUGGUGCAUGGUUGUCGUCAGCUCGUGUCGUGAGAUGUUGGGUUAAGUCCCGCAACGAGCGCAACCCUUGACCUUAGUUGCCAGCAUUCAGUUGGGCACUCUAAGGUGACUGCCGGUGACAAACCGGAGGAAGGUGGGGAUGACGUCAAAUCAUCAUGCCCCUUAUGACCUGGGCUACACACGUGCUACAAUGGAUGGUACAAAGGGCUGCGAGACCGCGAGGUUAAGCCAAUCCCAUAAAACCAUUCUCAGUUCGGAUUGCAGG